UUGAUUUUCUUAAUGAUGAACAAACGCAAUAGAGUCAAGCUCUGAAACCAAAAAAUUGGUUGUGGAAGAUUAUUGCUAUAAUUUCUGAAAAGAAAUCAA
This 99-nucleotide small nucleolar RNA is filed under the name Millerozyma farinosa CBS 7064. RNAcentral's name for it is "Piso0_001366". The record is from RNAcentral. Lineage: Eukaryota; Fungi; Ascomycota; Pichiomycetes; Serinales; Debaryomycetaceae.